This 437-nucleotide ribosomal RNA is filed under the name Streptococcus mutans. RNAcentral's name for it is "bacterial SSU rRNA". It matches the Rfam family "Bacterial small subunit ribosomal RNA", at positions 28 to 447 of the family's 1533-position model. The record is from RNAcentral. Lineage: Bacteria; Bacillati; Bacillota; Bacilli; Lactobacillales; Streptococcaceae.
GACGAACGCUGGCGGCGUGCCUAAUACAUGCAAGUGGGACGCAAGGGAACACACUGUGCUUGCACACCGUGUUUUCUUGAGUCGCGAACGGGUGAGUAACGCGUAGGUAACCUGCCUAUUAGCGGGGGAUAACUAUUGGAAACGAUAGCUAAUACCGCAUAAUAUUAAUUAUUGCAUGAUAAUUGAUUGAAAGAUGCAAGCGCAUCAUUAGUAGAUGGACCUGCGUUGUAUUAGCUAGUUGGUAAGGUAAGAGCUUACCAAGGCGACGAUACAUAGCCGACCUGAGAGGGUGAUCGGCCACACUGGGACUGAGACACGGCCCAGACUCCUACGGGAGGCAGCAGUAGGGAAUCUUCGGCAAUGGACGAAAGUCUGACCGAGCAACGCCGCGUGAGUGAAGAAGGUUUUCGGAUCGUAAAGCUCUGUUGUAAGUCAAG